UGGAAAUUCAGCUCCGCCUUUCGCGCUUGUAGACAACACUCAUUGCCUGAUUAGUCUACUAGCGACAGCCGGCAGAUUUGAAAGUCUGUUGGAGGAUUACACCUAUUCUCAAGGACAUGAAAAGGAGUCGCCAAGGAAGCGAAAAAGAGAAUUAAAACAACAUCGCGACCGGAAAAACAACAGACCAAAGUCAAUAUUGGAGUGGCUUUUCUAAGAUGGAAAGAGCUCGUGAGGAGCAAGGAUUUUAAAAGGGACGCCGAAGUUGCCUGCUUUCUUCUCGACAGAGAGAACUGAGAGCAGUUACAUCAACACCAAUGAAGGGAAAGCUCUCUAGUAUUAACUACUCCAGAAGUGUCCAGCAUUUCUAGUGGGACAGACAGAUGAGCAUCUUGGCGCAAUUGCAGAAGCCCCUGAAAUUGAGAACCUUGAACAGCGGAUCAGCUUUCCAGGAGACUGCACAUGUAGAAUGAUGGCCCAUGUUGCUUCAAAGGCACCAUACAAAAAGGAAGGGUUCAUCUGUAA
Long non-coding RNA from Alosa sapidissima (American shad), 522 nucleotides. RefSeq lists it as uncharacterized. The record is from RefSeq and is a predicted model, not a curated record. Lineage: Eukaryota; Metazoa; Chordata; Actinopteri; Clupeiformes; Clupeidae. The transcript has 4 exons.